GGUGAACGCUGGCGGUAGGCCUAACACAUGCAAGUCGAACGGCAGCACAGUAAGAGCUUGCUCUUACGGGUGGCGAGUGGCGGACGGGUGAGGAAUACAUCGGAAUCUACUUUUUCGUGGGGGAUAACGUAGGGAAACUUACGCUAAUACCGCAUACGACCUACGGGUGAAAGCAGGGGAUCUUCGGACCUUGCGCGAUUGAAUGAGCCGAUGUCGGAUUAGCUAGUUGGCGGGGUAAAGGCCCACCAAGGCGACGAUCCGUAGCUGGUCUGAGAGGAUGAUCAGCCACACUGGAACUGAGACACGGUCCAGACUCCGACGGGAGGCAGCAGGGGGGAAUAGUGGACAAGGGGCGAAAGCCUGACCGAGCAAUCCCGGGGGGGGGAAGAAGGCCUGCGGGUUGUAAACCCGUUUUGUGGGGAAAGAAAAGCAGCGGGUGAAAACCCGGCUGUCCUGACGGUACCAAAAAAAAAAGCACCGGCUAACUUCGUG
RNAcentral lists this ribosomal RNA (492 nucleotides) under uncultured bacterium. Its description in RNAcentral is "partial 16S ribosomal RNA". It matches the Rfam family "Bacterial small subunit ribosomal RNA", at positions 28 to 507 of the family's 1533-position model. The record is from RNAcentral.